UUUAAAACAUUGUACAUAACCUAAAAAUUCGAAAUAGAGUUUUAACUGAUUUUCAUAUUAUGUUUUAAAUGAUUCAUAUUCAUUCUUUCAUGUGACGUUUUCUUUAUGUUCUUUGUUUCUGCACCGUGAUAUAAUUUGGGUCAAUUGUUUCCAAACUGGACGUGCUAUUGGUGUACGUAAAUGUUUUUAAUGGCCAUACAUUGCUGCACUUUUUAAGUCUUCAACGUUUUUCUGCAUAAUUAUGUGUUAGGAGUUUUGCAUAACUGAGAAGAGAUAACAGAAAUGCCAGAGCUGGAAGUAUACGGCCUUAAACACCUUUUACUGUAUGUCACAAUACUAUUCUACCUUUUCAAUUUAAUAAACCAGAUUGGAUGGUGCCAAGAACCAACGUUCAGGACUCCGGCAGAGGAUCCUUACUUAGCUGCAAACCCAACUUCAUCUCCAGAUCCCAUCCUACCAACAUCAAUGCAAAUUUCUUCCUUUAAUUUUUUCCGUAGCCAAUCUUCUAAAACAUUUAAAGAAAACUUUACAGAUCGGUAAUUUAUAAAUUUAUAUAGGGAUCUAUCACUUACAUUGUUUCGAUCAAGCCAUUUAUAUUUCAGCUCAGCCCCAUA
Homalodisca vitripennis (glassy-winged sharpshooter) is the source of this 614-nucleotide long non-coding RNA. RefSeq lists it as uncharacterized. The record is from RefSeq and is a predicted model, not a curated record. The transcript has 3 exons. NCBI's taxonomy places the organism in Eukaryota, Metazoa, Arthropoda, Insecta, Hemiptera, Cicadellidae.